Molecule: ribosomal RNA, 474 nt
Filed under: uncultured Mycobacterium sp.
Lineage: Bacteria; Bacillati; Actinomycetota; Actinomycetes; Mycobacteriales; Mycobacteriaceae
Description: bacterial SSU rRNA
Rfam family: Bacterial small subunit ribosomal RNA
Source: RNAcentral
GGUGGUUUGUCGCGUUGUUCGUGAAAACUCACAGCUUAACUGUGGGCGUGCGGGCGAUACCGGGCAGACUGGAGUACUGCAGGGGAGACUGGAAUUCCUGGUGUAGCGGUGGAAUGCGCAGAUAUCAGGAGGAACACCGGUGGCGAAGGCGGGUCUCUGGGCAGUAACUGACGCUGAGGAGCGAAAGCGUGGGGAGCGAACAGGAUUAGAUACCCUGGUAGUCCACGCCGUAAACGGUGGGUACUAGGUGUGGGUUUCCUUCCUUGGGAUCCGUGCCGUAGCUAACGCAUUAAGUACCCCGCCUGGGGAGUACGGCCGCAAGGCUAAAACUCAAAGGAAUUGACGGGGGCCCGCACAAGCGGCGGAGCAUGUGGAUUAAUUCGAUGCAACGCGAAGAACCUUACCUGGGUUUGACAUGCACAGGACGGCGGCAGAGAUGUCGUUUCCCUUGUGACCUGUGUGCAGGUGGUGCAU